ACGUAGACUAUUGAAUCACUGAACGUGGUUAAUAACGCAGAGAGAGGGUGCAUUCUCUCUUUCUAUCAAUAUAUAAUUAAUUUUUUCUAUUGGCAUAAUAUUACACGUCAUCGAUGCAGCAUUAAUAAAUAGAGGACAGAAUGUUAAUGCGCUCAGUCGUCAUUAUUCAUUUCGCUUACUUAUUUUCUGCCUCUCUUCGAUAAUAGAUAUUCCGAUAUUCCAAAAAACUCUCUCGAGUUUCCGUUUUCAUUCACUGUUUAGCAUUGUUAAUUAUGGAUGAAAUAAGAUUGAUAGGGUUUAUAUGUUUGCUGUCGUUUUACGGUUGUCUUGAUGGAGAUGCGACCACCGAGCCAAACGAGCCCGUGGAAAGAAUAAUUCAAUCUAGAAGGAACAACGCUGAGCACAAUUCUAAUUCAAUUCUCAGCACUCCUGUUUUUCAAUAAAGCAAAGUUCAGUUUUCAUACUUGGAUAUUGGUUUGCUGUUUAUCUUUCAUAUAGUUACGAAGAUAUAUGUAAGAGAGAGAUAUGGACAACAAUAAAA
This is a long non-coding RNA of Nylanderia fulva, 541 nucleotides long. RefSeq lists it as uncharacterized. Lineage: Eukaryota; Metazoa; Arthropoda; Insecta; Hymenoptera; Formicidae. The record is from RefSeq and is a predicted model, not a curated record.